CCCGAUCACCCUUCUUCGAUUUUCCUUUGAUUUCUCCUUUAUUGAUUGCUUUCUUGGUGGAAUUCUUGCUAGGUUGCUUCUGAUUCGUGUGGUUUUUGGUUGUUCUGAUUGAUUUGUGUUUGAUUACAGGGGUUGGUUAAUGGCAGGGUUUUCUGUUUCGUGUUUGCUGGUAAUUAUGGUUAGAUUUGGUUGUUGUGUCUGCUCUCUGGCAUCGUUGGAUGAUGAUCCAUGUCGAGAUGUUUUGUUUCGAUUGAUUCGUGUGAUGUUCUUUCAUAAAGGAAAAAAAAUAGCAAGUGGCUUUUUUUUAAAAAAAAAAUAAUGAUCUAUCGUGUUAAUGUGUUUUAGGUUGUUCUUAUGUUACAUGGUGUAUCGGAAAAUCUUUAUGAUUGGAAGGGCAGUUGGAGGUGUAAUUUAUGCUCAUCGCUUUAUCGCUUUCUUCUCUGUUGAUGAGGUAACACAGCAACAGCGGUGAGAGUUAAUUGCAAGGAGUUGGAAGAUCUAGAGAGUUGGAAAAAAAAAAAAUGAAGCUCGGAUGGACUUCGGUUUAUGAUUUUUUUUUACUGCAUCCUUUUUUUGGGAAUGCUAAAAAUUUUCAUUUCUGUAAAUAAUACUUCAAUUUAUCUGCUCACCUCAGUGGUAAGUUUGCUAAUUCAGUGUGCGGAUGUUCACUAUGUGGUCAUGAAGAUUGAGCACUGAACUAUCAAGAUUGUGGGUAGCUUAUGGUUCCCACCUAACAGUUUCUCCACUUCAUAUUUAAACUACAACAAGAAGCCCAGAUUUUUGCUGUGCAGAAAUCUAUGUUGGCCUUGAUUGAGAUUCCUGCUCAGGUUUUUUCCUCCUUUAUCAUUUUUAAUCGUUGAUGUUCCUAUCCUUCUGGCUGGUCUUGUGCAUUUAAUAUUAGAACUCUAUACGAAUAUUGCCUUGGAUAGAGAUUAGCGUCUUAUUCAUAGUGUUGAUGCUAGGUUGAGAUCGUCUUAAAAUUUGUACUAUAAGAUUUUUGUGUAUCCAUAUUGCCAGUCACGUUGAGUUUUGUACAUUGUCAGAAGGUUUGCAAGGUAAGGCGUAAGCCUGUCCUUCAGACGACAAGCAUGAUACAGUUCCUGUUGGGGAGGUCACCUGCAAUUCUGAAAUAACUUUCUCAAAGGAAUAAUAUUAUGGCCGAAAGCUUUCUAUUUCUGAUGGCUGAUAGAUUGCAGUCCUGCAUUUGCAUUUUUUUACUCCUGCCAAUCAAGCAACUUCUCUGUUCUGGGUGAAGAGGUUGUUGGUUUCAUUUAUAAACUAGCUGGCGCAAUGCUGGAAAUUUGUUCUUUGAUGUACUAAGCUGAAGGUUCCGCAUUUUCUGAAAGAUAUCAGCACACCUAGUUCUUAAAUUUUCUAUGGGAUUUUUUAUUGAAUCAAUGUGCAAACACAUGAAAUCAGGAUUUGGAUGAUCUUCCUGUUAUGACAGUUCACAGUCAUUUUGCUUGGGGCUUUUUAGAAUGUCUUAAAAAUUUCAUAAGACUUAAUAUUAAUACACAUUUCUUUUGACACAGAGAGUUUGUUAUAUCUUUGUAUUAUUGCGUACGCUAUGUUCAUUAUAUUUAAUACUUAUGGUGGGUUAUUUUCCUGGAUAAUGACGUCAUCUUAGAAUGCAGGGCUGUGUAAUACUCUGCUAUGCCAUUCAAACCCUGAAGAUUUAUCUCCAUGAGAAGCAUUAUAGUUUGGUUGGAUGAAGUAUGGCUAGUUUUUUCCCUGCAAGAUGAGUUCAGUUGUGGAUUACAGUGCUGUGUUUCCUGUUAAUCUAAUAUUCUCUUAUGCUUUCACACCAGAUCGUGUAUGUGUAUGUUCUGUAUAUAGUGGUUAAUUAGGCUUUUUCUUCUUCAUGGGUAUCACUAAUCUUUCUUGCAUAGUUUUUUAUCUUGUCUUCUUCCUACCAGUAGAUAGUUUAUGAUGGACAUUUAAGGGAGUAUAUGUUAGUUUAAAAGAAGAUGAUAGUUGCAUUCUAUUUUCUCUAUAAAACACUAACAUGAUAAAAUAAAAAUAAAAAAACCACAUUAUGACCAUCAAGGAGGGGAAUAUAACAUGGCCAUCACCGAAAAGAAUAUGUUGUUAUAUUUUCUUGUCCGUAUGCAAUGGCUCAUAUCACAUGAUAUGCCCAAUACUGAGCAAUUUUCUGUUGAAAAAGAGGGGUUAUCAUGCUGCCCCUCAUAUUUAUUCUUUUGGUACCUGGAUAUUAACUGGAGAUAGUGCCAGCAGGAUGCCUUUAUAAUUGUUUGAUGGUUAAAAAUUGAUCAAAUUCAACAUCAUCAUUUUAUUUGAUAGAGGUACUGUUUGCCUGGUAGUGCUGCCGGCUGUGUGUGAUAUUGAAUCUUAUCAUUGGGUGUCAAGGAUAGGUGAUUGAGAUCUUGAAGGUUGUCAAUUAAAGCUUGGCUGUCUAGAGGUCUCCUUUUCCAAACAUCUCGAUUGGUUUUUCUGUUAUUGUGGCAUGGUAAGAAUGAUUGCUUCAGGAAGUGCUACCAUAAAAUGAUUGUCUCUGGUCUAUGACUAUUGCUCCAAAUAAC
This is a non-coding RNA of Elaeis guineensis (African oil palm), 2540 nucleotides long. The record is from RefSeq and is a predicted model, not a curated record. Lineage: Eukaryota; Viridiplantae; Streptophyta; Magnoliopsida; Arecales; Arecaceae.